RNAcentral lists this unclassified non-coding RNA (279 nucleotides) under plant metagenome. RNAcentral's name for it is "partial contains small subunit ribosomal RNA, internal transcribed spacer 1, and 5.8S ribosomal RNA". The record is from RNAcentral.
UCUCCGUUGGUGAACCAGCGGAGGGAUCAUUACCGAGUUUACCACUCUCAAACCCUUUGCGUACCAUACCAACUUGUUGUAUCGGCAGGGUCACGCCUCGGGUGCGUCGCACCCACGGUACCAGGCUUCCCCAGGUGGGCCCAACCCCACUCUUACUAUAGAAUCAACGCGGCCGUCAUAUUUUUAGCACUACGCAAAAAUACAAUAUGCAACAAAACUUUCAACAACGGAUCCCAUGGUUCAGGCAUCGAAGCAGAACGCAGCAGAUCGGAAGAGCAC